UCCUUAGAUGUUCUGGGCCGCACGCGCGCUACACUGAUGCAUUCAACGAGUUCCUACCUUGGCCGAGAGGCCUGGGCAAUCUUUUGAACUUGCAUCGUGAUAGGGAUAGAUUAUUGCAAUUAUUAAUCUUGAACGAGGAAUUCCUAGUAAACGCAGAUCAUCAAUCUGCAUUGAUUACGUCCCUGCCCUUUGUACACACCGCCCGUCGCACCUACCGAUUGAAUGGUCCGGUGAAGCCUCGGGAUUGUGGCUAGUUUCCUUCAUUGGAAGUUAGCCGCGAGAACUUGUCUAAACCUUAUCAUUUAGAGGAAGGUGAAGUCGUAACA
This 326-nucleotide ribosomal RNA is filed under the name uncultured eukaryote. RNAcentral's name for it is "partial 18S ribosomal RNA". It matches the Rfam family "Eukaryotic small subunit ribosomal RNA", at positions 1470 to 1796 of the family's 1831-position model. The record is from RNAcentral.